RNAcentral lists this ribosomal RNA (443 nucleotides) under uncultured soil bacterium. Its description in RNAcentral is "bacterial SSU rRNA". It matches the Rfam family "Bacterial small subunit ribosomal RNA", at positions 26 to 453 of the family's 1533-position model. The record is from RNAcentral.
AGAUUGAACGCUGGCGGCAGGCCUAACACAUGCAAGUCGGGCGGUAGAGAGGUGCUUGCACCUCUUGAGAGCGGCGGACGGGUGAGUAAAGCCUAGGAAUCUGCCUGGUAGUGGGGGAUAACGCUCGGAAACGGACGCUAAUACCGCAUACGUCCUACGGGAGAAAGCAGGGGACCUUCGGGCCUUGCGCUAUCAGAUGAGCCUAGGUCGGAUUAGCUAGUUGGUGAGGUAAUGGCUCACCAAGGCGACGAUCCGUAACUGGUCUGAGAGGAUGAUCAGUCACACUGGAACUGAGACACGGUCAGACUCGUACGGGAGGCAGCAGUGGGAAUAUGGACAAAUGGGCGAAAGCCUGAGUCCAAGGCCAGUGACCGCGUACGUGUAGGAAGUAAGGUCGUUACGGAUUUGGAAAAGCCGUAACGUUUAAGGUUGGGAAGGAAGGG